This 645-nucleotide long non-coding RNA is filed under the name Oryzias sinensis (Chinese medaka). RNAcentral's name for it is "lncRNA (ENSOSIG00000000481.1)". The record is from RNAcentral. Lineage: Eukaryota; Metazoa; Chordata; Actinopteri; Beloniformes; Adrianichthyidae.
CACCCAGUUUUGAUGUGUUUCACCAAUCAAGGCUAGCAAGGAAUGCAGACAAAUAAAAAUGUCAAGCAGCACAGAAAAAUAUUGUGAUCCAGUGUCUUAAUAUGUAAACUGGAUACAUGAUUUCAUAAAUAAAUGACUGACUGCCAUCAGUAGCAGAGCUGUGCCCAAAUUUUAAAGUGACACAUGUCUAAAGAUUUUUAUGACAGUCCUAGUCUGAGAAUUUUCAUAGUAUUCAAAUAAAGUGUAAAAGCUGUACUAUUACGUUUCUUUUUUUAGGGUUGGUAAUUCAUUAUAAAUUUCCCAAUGUUGGAAUAAUUAGUACCCUUGCAGCUGUUUGAUCAUGUGAUUUUAUAUUUAUAUUCAGCCAUUUGUUUUUAGGUUUCCACUGGAGGGCAGAAUUGUUCAGGUUAUCCUGUGGCAUUUGGGGAAAAUGUCAGUCAUAACAAUAGACUGCAGCAUGUGUACAGUUGAAAUGAAAUCCUCAGCUUGAAACAGAUCCUGUGCGGCUGUACAGACAGGUAAGGCAUUUAAUGAAUCCUUCUUUGCUGAUUUGUCAUUUUAAUAAAUUUAACAGAAGUUAAAUAUUAUGUCACAAGGAAACAGACUAAAGAUUUUGUAGUGCUUAACCUCUGGACAACCCAAAAA